Molecule: long non-coding RNA, 588 nt
Filed under: Ananas comosus (pineapple)
Lineage: Eukaryota; Viridiplantae; Streptophyta; Magnoliopsida; Poales; Bromeliaceae
Description: long non-coding RNA (ACOM_LNC008135)
Source: RNAcentral
UUUUUUUUUUUUUUUUUUUUUGAGAGAUAGGUAGCACGCUACCCGCUUCGUUUAUUUCAUUUAGAAAUAAACUUAGCUAGAAAUGUGAAUCAAUUAGGAUUCGAACUUGGAUCUCGGGUACCAACCACCAAGCCCUUUGCCACUUGCUCUGAGGACGUUUGGUAGAGGGAUCUUGAGGGUUUGAACCAUCUUUUUCCUAGUACAAAGUUAUUGAUGCAAUUAGGUUUUCGGCUUUAAGAGAUAUGCGAUGAUAGUAGUCUCCUAGGAUAUUUGAAGUUUUUAAAAAUAAAAUUUUAUAUUUUUUUGACAUAGUUUACUUUAUAAUCAAAUUGUUUCACAAUUGUCAAAUUUUAAUAACUAUUAUGAAAAGUUUGUAGUUUAACUGUGUAGAAAAAUCUAAAUUUAUUUAAAUUUUGAUAGAAAAUACUUUAAACUAUCUAGACCAAGGUCAACAUCAUUGAUCUUGAAUUCAAAAGUCCUAUAUUCAAAUUUUAAAAAUUGCUCAAUUUUUACUGUUCAUUUUAACAUGAUUUAACUUACUAAGUAAAUGAUAUCAUAAAAAACGAAAAUUUUAUUCCUAAGAAUUUC